This 371-nucleotide ribosomal RNA is filed under the name uncultured bacterium. RNAcentral's name for it is "bacterial SSU rRNA". It matches the Rfam family "Bacterial small subunit ribosomal RNA", at positions 527 to 896 of the family's 1533-position model. The record is from RNAcentral.
GUAGGGGGCAGGCGUUGUCCGGAUUUAUUGGGCGUAAAGAGCGUGUAGGCGGUUCGGUAGGUCCGUUGUGAAAACUCGAGGCUCAACCUCGAGACGCCGAUGGAAACCCUCGAACUAGAGUCCGGAAGAGGAGAGUGGAAUUCCUGGUGUAGCGGUGAAAUGCGCAGAUAUCAGGAAGAACACCCGUGGCUAAGGCGGCUCUCUAGUACGGUACUGACGCUGAGACGCGAAAGCGUGGGGAGCGAACAGGAUUAGAUACCCUGGUAGUCCACGCCGUAAACGGUGGGUGCUAGGUGUGGGGGGUGUCAACUCCCUCCGUGCCGAAGCUAACGCAUUAAGCACCCCGCCUGGGGAGUACGGCCGCAAGGCUA